Molecule: ribosomal RNA, 664 nt
Filed under: alpha proteobacterium IMCC15099
Lineage: Bacteria; Pseudomonadati; Pseudomonadota; Alphaproteobacteria
Description: bacterial SSU rRNA
Rfam family: Bacterial small subunit ribosomal RNA
Source: RNAcentral
GCGGCAGGCCUAACACAUGCAAGUCGAGCGCUACCUUCGGGUGGAGCGGCGGACGGGUUAGUAACGCGUGGGAAUAUACCCUUCACUAUGGAAUAGCCUCGGGAAACUGAGAGUAAUACCAUAUACGCCCUUCGGGGGAAAGAUUUAUCGGUGAAGGAUUAGCCCGCGUAAGAUUAGAUAGUUGGUGGGGUAAUGGCCUACCAAGUCUACGAUCUUUAGCUGGUUUUAGAGGAUGAUCAGCAACACUGGGACUGAGACACGGCCCAGACUCCUACGGGAGGCAGCAGUGGGGAAUCUUAGACAAUGGGCGAAAGCCUGAUCUAGCCAUGCCGCGUGAGUGAUGAAGGUCUUAGGAUCGUAAAGCUCUUUCGCUAGGGAUGAUAAUGACAGUACCUAGUAAAGAAGCCCCGGCUAACUCCGUGCCAGCAGCCGCGGUAAUACGGAGGGGGCUAGCGUUGUUCGGAAUUACUGGGCGUAAAGCGUACGUAGGCGGAUCAGAAAGUAUGGGGUGAAAUCCCAGGGCUUAACCCUGGAACUGCCUCAUAAACUCCUGGUCUUGAGUUCGAGAGAGGUGAGUGGAAUUCCAAGUGUAGAGGUGAAAUUCGUAGAUAUUUGGAGGAACACCAGUGGCGAAGGCGGCUCACUGGCUCGAUACUGACGCUGA